CCUACGGGAGGCAGCAGUGGGGAAUAUUGCACAAUGGGCGCAAGCCUGAUGCAGCGACGCCGCGUGAGGGAUGACGGCCUUCGGGUUGUAAACCUCUUUCAGUAGGGAAGAAGCGGAAGUGACGGUACCUGCAGAAGAAGCGCCGGCUAACUACGUGCCAGCAGCCGCGGUAAUACGUAGGGCGCAAGCGUUAUCCGGAAUUAUUGGGCGUAAAGAGCUCGUAGGCGGUUUGUCGCGUCUGCCGUGAAAGUCCGGGGCUCAACUCCGGAUCUGCGGUGGGUACGGGCAGACUAGAGUGAUGUAGGGGAGACUGGAAUUCCUGGUGUAGCGGUGAAAUGCGCAGAUAUCAGGAGGAACACCGAUGGCGAAGGCAGGUCUCUGGGCAUUAACUGACGCUGAGGAGCGAAAGCAUGGGGAGCGAACAGGAUUAGAUACCCUGGUAGUCCAUGCCGUAAACGUUGGGCACUAGGUGUGGGGGACAUUCCACGUUUUCCGCGCCGUAGCUAACGCAUUAAGUGCCCGCCUGGGGAGACGCGCAGNAACACAAGAAGUAGAGCGNGAGAGNGCGAGACGACGACGAGGGAGAGG
RNAcentral lists this ribosomal RNA (588 nucleotides) under uncultured bacterium. RNAcentral describes it as "bacterial SSU rRNA". The stretch from base 1 to 524 matches the Rfam family "Bacterial small subunit ribosomal RNA", at positions 338 to 873 of the family's 1533-position model. The record is from RNAcentral.